GCCCACCGCCGAGGUUAAGCCAUCCACAAAUCUGUUCUCAGUUCGGAUCGCAGUCUGCAACUCGACUGCGUGAAGCUGGAAUCGCUAGUAAUCGCGGAUCAGCAUGCCGCGGUGAAUACGUUCCCGGGCCUUGUACACACCGCCCGUCACACCACGAGAGUUUGUAACACCCGAAGUCGGUGAGGUAACCUUUUUGGAGCCAGCCGCCGAAGGUGGGACAGAUGAUUGGGGUGAAGUCGUAACAAGGAUAGCCGUAUA
This 258-nucleotide ribosomal RNA is filed under the name Bacillus amyloliquefaciens. RNAcentral's name for it is "partial 16S ribosomal RNA". It matches the Rfam family "Bacterial small subunit ribosomal RNA", at positions 1249 to 1506 of the family's 1533-position model. The record is from RNAcentral. Lineage: Bacteria; Bacillati; Bacillota; Bacilli; Caryophanales; Bacillaceae.